This 494-nucleotide ribosomal RNA is filed under the name uncultured bacterium. Its description in RNAcentral is "bacterial SSU rRNA". It matches the Rfam family "Bacterial small subunit ribosomal RNA", at positions 29 to 518 of the family's 1533-position model. The record is from RNAcentral.
AUGAACGCUAGCGACAGGCCUAACACAUGCAAGUCAGGGGCAGCACAAGGAGCAAUCUGAGGUGGCGACCGGCGCACGGGUGAGUAACACGUAUGCAACCUGCCUGUAAGCGGGGAAUAACCCGUUGAAAGACGGACUAAUACCGCAUAAUACUAAAUUACUGCAUGGUAAUUUAUUUAAACAUUUAUGGCCUACAGAUGGGCAUGCGCAUGAUUAGCUAGUUGGAGAGGUAACGGCUCCCCAAGGCAACGAUCAUUAGGGGUUCUGAGAGGAAGGUCCCCCACACUGGUACUGAGACACGGACCAGACUCCUACGGGAGGCAGCAGUGAGGAAUAUUGGUCAAUGGACGAGAGUCUGAACCAGCCAAGUCGCGUGCAGGAAGAAUGUCCCUAUGGAUUGUAAACUGCUUUUGCAGGGGAAUAAAGUGCAUCACGUGUGAUGUUUUGUAUGUACUCUGCGAAUAAGGAUCGGCUAACUCCGUGCCAGCCGCCGC